CACAUACUCCCUACGUCCAAAAAUUCUUGUAUUAAAUUUGUAUAGAUAUGAAUGUAUUUAGUCAUGUUUUAGCAUUUAGAUGCAUUUAUUUCUAGACAAACCUAAGACAAGAAUUUUGAGACGGAGUAUUGC
Molecule: non-coding RNA, 132 nt
Organism: Hordeum vulgare subsp. vulgare (domesticated barley)
Lineage: Eukaryota; Viridiplantae; Streptophyta; Magnoliopsida; Poales; Poaceae
Source: Rfam